This 91-nucleotide transfer RNA is filed under the name Chloroflexota bacterium. RNAcentral describes it as "tRNA-Ser". It matches the Rfam family "tRNA". Rfam says of the family: Transfer RNA (tRNA) molecules are approximately 80 nucleotides in length. RNAcentral also lists the same sequence under 2 other names. The record is from RNAcentral. Lineage: Bacteria; Bacillati; Chloroflexota.
GGAGAGAUGGCUGAGUGGCUGAAGGCGCCGGUCUCGAAAACCGGUAUAUGCAUUCCGCAUAUCGCGGGUUCGAAUCCCGCUCUCUCCGCCA